This 1290-nucleotide long non-coding RNA is filed under the name Danio rerio (zebrafish). Its description in RNAcentral is "lncRNA si:dkeyp-77c4.2 (ENSDARG00000097393.2)". The record is from RNAcentral. Lineage: Eukaryota; Metazoa; Chordata; Actinopteri; Cypriniformes; Danionidae.
GUGUUUUAUGGUUGAUAAAGACCAGGCUGAAGUCAAUGCCAUCCGUAAGGUGUUCAACGAGUCAGACAUUCUCCUUUGUUGGUACCAUGUAACGCAAGCAGUAACUCGUUGGCUGUCAAUAUCUGAAUCUGGUGUGAGUGGACCUGAAAAGGCAGAUUGAAGAGCGCACAUCAUACAGUUUAUGUCAGAGAUGAAAUGCUGUUCAAAGGUGUGUUGCUAUUUGUUUUAGGGUGCUUUCACACCUACACUUUUGUUUCAGAACCUGUCUUGUUUGCCCAGUUAGCGCGGUUCGUUUGGCAUAUGUGAACAAGGCAAUUGCGCUCUAUUCCACGCCAAAGUAAUCGCUCCGAGACCGCCUUAGUGAGGCUCGAUUGAAACGAACCCUGGAGCGGUUCGAUUGCAUGUGAAAGUGAACCGCUCCUAGAGCAAAGAGCAACAAUGUUAACAUUUUUAAUCUCUUUUUCGGAACAACUAAAUCCAUUCACAGGUGUGAAAGCACCCUUAUAGUACAACUGUAUGUUCUAAUGUGUCAUUCUACUUUGGUAACAAGCUUGUAACAUGCAUUACUAAUAUGUGAAAAAAUUAUGUUAAUGACAGCUAAUAUAAAAUGGUAACCCACAUACAGUAUGAAGAGUUCAGAUGCAAAAGCCUCUAAGUCAGGUCUCAAACUGCCGACCCUCAAACCAUUUGCGCCCCUGCCUCCUCCAUCCGGCCCACAACUGACAUCAAAAAUAUAAUGAUAUUCAGCCCAUCAAAACAUAUAUUUUUGAAUCGCUAUCAUUGUUGUGCUAUCACAUACUUCUGGUUUUGACUCCCCACCUACUGAACAUUUAAAGUUACAUUUUAAGUGACAGGGUUACUUUCGAUUUCUCUCAGUGUGCGGUCAAGAGUAACACAUGCAGAUUAUUUCCGGGGCUGAUUUAAACAUUGAAAAAUAUGUCCGCAAGCGCUCUAUUUUUGUAAAUAUUCAAGGGUCAUUUGAUUAUAAUCCGUUUUAUACCCCCUGUACUUUGUUGUACAAACACCUUUUUAUGGCUUACACAUGUUUGUGUAAAUAUGAUAGUUUUGCUUAUAUUCGAUUCAAAAGGUAUCAUGAAUAGAUUUUCCUCAUAUACAUAUUAAGAUUUGGAUAAAUGUGCAUUAGUAAAAUUUUACUGUUGGCUGUAUUGAACAUGUUAAAGUAAAUAUGAAUAUGUACAUCCUUAUCCCCUCUUUAUUUUAUUUUUACCAAAAAGAAUGAUAUUGAGAAGAACGAUUGCCAGCAACGUCAAUAAAGUUACCCAAACUACA